ACAAGAGUUAAGAGAGGAGAAAAGUAAAAUAAGAGUUUGUUGCAUUAGUCCUGCUACAGUGAAAACAGAAUUUAUACCAAGAAUGGUUGAAAAUACAAAGAUUGCUGAAGAGUUUUAUGAAAGCACAGACCCCCUUCAACCUGAAAAUGUUACAGAAGCUAUUCUGAAUGUACUGAAAAUGCCAAAACAUGUUGAUGUUAACGAUAUUAUUAUACAGACCACUAUACCAUCAAUAUAAUUUAAAUAAUUGAUCUCAGAUUACUUCAGUUGGUUCUAAUUGAUAUUAUGGAUGUUAAAUGAUUCAAAGCUAACCAAAUAUUUCUAGUCUGUAACAUUUAAAAUUAAAUGACUCCAAUAGAUUUGUAAAUGAA
Molecule: unclassified non-coding RNA, 371 nt
Filed under: Centruroides sculpturatus (bark scorpion)
Lineage: Eukaryota; Metazoa; Arthropoda; Arachnida; Scorpiones; Buthidae
Description: dehydrogenase/reductase SDR family member 11-like, transcript variant X2
Source: RNAcentral